RNAcentral lists this ribosomal RNA (508 nucleotides) under uncultured prokaryote. RNAcentral's name for it is "bacterial SSU rRNA". It matches the Rfam family "Archaeal small subunit ribosomal RNA", at positions 363 to 870 of the family's 1478-position model. The record is from RNAcentral.
AAGUGCGAUCAGGGGACUCCGAGUGUGAAGGCAUAGAGCCUUCACUUUUGUACACCGUAAGGUGGUGCACGAAUAAGGACUGGGCAAGACCGGUGCCAGCCGCCGCGGUAAUACCGGCAGUCCGAGUGAUGGCCGAUCUUAUUGGGCCUAAAGCGUCCGUAGCUGGCUGAACAAGUCCGUUGGGAAAUCUGUCCGCUUAACGGGCAGGCGUCCAGCGGAAACUGUUCAGCUUGGGACCGGAAGACCUGAGGGGUACGUCUGGGGUAGGAGUGAAAUCCUGUAAUCCUGGACGGACCGCCGGUGGCGAAAGCGCCUCAGGAGAACGGAUCCGACAGUGAGGGACGAAAGCUAGGGUCUCGAACCGGAUUAGAUACCCGGGUAGUCCUAGCUGUAAACGAUGUCCGCUAGGUGUGGCGCAGGCUACGAGCCUGCGCUGUGCCGUAGGGAAGCCGAGAAGCGGACCGCCUGGGAAGUACGUCUGCAAGGAUGAAACUUAAAGGAAUUGGCG